RNAcentral lists this ribosomal RNA (578 nucleotides) under Colletotrichum gloeosporioides. RNAcentral describes it as "eukaryotic LSU rRNA". The stretch from base 215 to 368 matches the Rfam family "5.8S ribosomal RNA". Lineage: Eukaryota; Fungi; Ascomycota; Sordariomycetes; Glomerellales; Glomerellaceae. The record is from RNAcentral.
CGUAACAAGGUCUCCGUUGGUGAACCAGCGGAGGGAUCAUUACUGAGUUUACGCUCUACAACCCUUUGUGAACAUACCUACAACUGUUGCUUCGGCGGGUAGGGUCUCCGCGACCCUCCCGGCCUCCCGCCUCCGGGCGGGUCGGCGCCCGCCGGAGGAUAACCAAACUCUGAUUUAACGACGUUUCUUCUGAGUGGUACAAGCAAAUAAUCAAAACUUUUAACAACGGAUCUCUUGGUUCUGGCAUCGAUGAAGAACGCAGCGAAAUGCGAUAAGUAAUGUGAAUUGCAGAAUUCAGUGAAUCAUCGAAUCUUUGAACGCACAUUGCGCCCGCCAGCAUUCUGGCGGGCAUGCCUGUUCGAGCGUCAUUUCAACCCUCAAGCUCUGCUUGGUGUUGGGGCCCUACAGCCGAUGUAGGCCCUCAAAGGUAGUGGCGGACCCUCCCGGAGCCUCCUUUGCGUAGUAACUUUACGUCUCGCACUGGGAUCCGGAGGGACUCUUGCCGUAAAACCCCCCAAUUUUCCAAAGGUUGACCUCGGAUCAGGUAGGAAUACCCGCUGAACUUAAGCAUAUCAAUA